GAUGAACGCUGGCGGCGUGCCUAAUACAUGCAAGUCGAGCGAACGGACGAGAAGCUUUCUUCUCUGAUGUUAGCGGCGGACGGGUGAGUAACACGUGGAUAACCUACUUAUAAUACUGGGAUAACUUCGGGAAACCGGAGCUAAUACCGGAUAAUAUUUUGAACCGCAUGGUUCAAAAGUGAAUGACGGUCUUGCUGUCACUUAUAGAUGGAUCCGCGCUGCAUUAGCUAGUUGGUAAGGUAACGGCUUACCAAGGCAACGAUGCAUAGCCGACCUGAGAGGUUGAUCGGCCACACUGGAACUGAGACACGGUCCAGACUCCUACGGGAGGCAGCAGUAGGGAAUCUUCCACAAUGGGCGAAAGCCUGACGGAGCAACGCCGCGUGAGUGAUGAAGGUCUUCGGAUCGUAAAGCUCUGUUGUUAGGGAAGAAAAUAUGUGUAAGAAAACGUGCACAUCUUGACGGUACCUAAACAGAAAGCCACGGCUAACUUCGUG
RNAcentral lists this ribosomal RNA (497 nucleotides) under uncultured bacterium. Its description in RNAcentral is "partial 16S ribosomal RNA". It matches the Rfam family "Bacterial small subunit ribosomal RNA", at positions 28 to 507 of the family's 1533-position model. The record is from RNAcentral.